GGUGGUUCUCGGGUGAUGCACCCUGGAAUCAAGCUCCCUCCUCUCUGGUUCCGGGUGAGUCACCAGAGAACCGCA
Molecule: non-coding RNA, 75 nt
Organism: Myotis lucifugus (little brown bat)
Lineage: Eukaryota; Metazoa; Chordata; Mammalia; Chiroptera; Vespertilionidae
Source: Rfam